Fukomys damarensis (Damara mole-rat) is the source of this 81-nucleotide small nucleolar RNA. The record is from Ensembl. NCBI's taxonomy places the organism in Eukaryota, Metazoa, Chordata, Mammalia, Rodentia, Bathyergidae.
GGUCAAUGAUGUAUUGGCAUGUAUUAUCUGAUUUAAUGCUGAUGUGUAUUAACACUAGCUCUAGAAUUACACUGAGACCUU